Long non-coding RNA from Hippocampus zosterae (dwarf seahorse), 306 nucleotides. RefSeq lists it as uncharacterized. The record is from RefSeq and is a predicted model, not a curated record. The transcript is spliced from 2 exons. NCBI's taxonomy places the organism in Eukaryota, Metazoa, Chordata, Actinopteri, Syngnathiformes, Syngnathidae.
UUAUUUGUUUCUGAAGAUUCCUCCCGCUUGUUUGUGUGGUCCACUUAAAGCAGAACUGUCUUGGUCCAGGUCCAGGAGGAGCAUCUUUACCCCCGGAUGGAGACAUUCAAGUAGUUGUGUGUACCUGUUCCUGCGGAGGCUCAGCACCGACGGCGAGCACACUCAUGCUGAUGCUGACACAAAGCACCAAAACAGCCAAAACCAGCAGCGUGAUGUCCAUCCCUCGAGUCAGCCGCUGCCCAUAAACAGAUACGAAAAUGGAGAAGUUACGGUUGUCGCUCCUUGCAGAGGAUAAAUAUAUACCUC